This 418-nucleotide ribosomal RNA is filed under the name uncultured bacterium. RNAcentral describes it as "partial 16S ribosomal RNA". It matches the Rfam family "Bacterial small subunit ribosomal RNA", at positions 355 to 765 of the family's 1533-position model. The record is from RNAcentral.
UGGGGAAUUUUGGACAAUGGGCGAAAGCCUGAUCCAGCAAUGCCGCGUGUGUGAAGAAGGCCUUCGGGUUGUAAAGCACUUUUGUCCGGAAAGAAAUCCUUGGCUCUAAUACAGUCGGGGGAUGACGGUACCGGAAGAAUAAGCACCGGCUAACUACGUGCCAGCAGCCGCGGUAAUACGUAGGGUGCAAGCGUUAAUCGGAAUUACUGGGCGUAAAGCGUGCGCAGGCGGUUUGCUAAGACCGAUGUGAAAUCCCCGGGCUCAACCUGGGAACUGCAUUGGUGACUGGCAGGCUAGAGUAUGGCAGAGGGGGGUAGAAUUCCACGUGUAGCAGUGAAAUGCGUAGAGAUGUGGAGGAAUACCGAUGGCGAAGGCAGCCCCCUGGGCCAAUACUGACGCUCAUGCACGAAAGCGUGGG